CUUCCUACGGGACGCAGCAGUCGGGAAUAUUGCGCAAUGGAGGAAACUCUGACGCAGUGAAGCCGUGUAUAGGAAGAAGGUUUUAGGAUUGUAAACUAUUGUCGUUAGGGAAGAGAAAGGACAGUACCUAAGGAGGAAGCUCCGGCUAACUACGUGCCAGCAGCCGCGGUAAUACGUAGGGAGCGAGCGUUAUCCGGAAUUAUUGGGUGUAAAGGGGGCGUAGACGGGAAAGCAAGUUAGUUGUGAAAUCGCUAGGCUUAACUGAGGAACUGCAACUAAAACU
RNAcentral lists this ribosomal RNA (283 nucleotides) under uncultured bacterium. RNAcentral's name for it is "partial 16S ribosomal RNA". It matches the Rfam family "Bacterial small subunit ribosomal RNA", at positions 335 to 634 of the family's 1533-position model. The record is from RNAcentral.